GCCGGGUGUGGUGGUGCACUCCUGUAAUCCCAGCAGCUCCGGAAGCUUAGACAGGAGGAUUGAGAGUUCAAAGCCAACCUCAGGAAUUUAGCAAGACCCUGUCUCUA
RNAcentral lists this small RNA (107 nucleotides) under Marmota monax (woodchuck). Lineage: Eukaryota; Metazoa; Chordata; Mammalia; Rodentia; Sciuridae. The record is from RNAcentral.